AAGCUCAAAUUUGAAAUCUGGCAGUCUUUUUUUUCUUCUUUGGCUGUCCGAGUUGUAAUCUAGAGAAGUGCUUACCUGCACUGGACCAUGUAUAAGUCUCCUGGAAUGGAGCGUCACAGAGGGUGAGAAUCCCGUCUUUGACAUGGACCGCCAGUGUGUUGUGGUGUGCUCUCAAAGAGUCGAGUUGUUUGGGAAUGCAGCUCUAAAUGGGUGGUAAACUCCAUCUAAAGCUAAAUAUUGGCGAGAGACCGAUAGUGAACAAGUACCGUGAGGGAAAGAUGAAAAGGACUUUGGAAAGAGAGUUAAACAGUAUGUGAAAUUGUUGAAAGGGAAACGCUUGAAGUCAGUUAUGUUGGCUAGGGAUCAACCUAGCUGUUUUUUUGCUGGGUGAAUUUCCUAGUCUGACAGGCCAACAUCAGUCUUGACUGCUGGAAAAGAGCAGAGGGAAUGUGGCACCUUUGGGUGUGUUAUAGCCUUUUGUCAUAUGUGGCAGUUGGGACUGAGGGAUGCAGCAUGCCGCGAGGCUGGGUUUCUGACCACGUCAUGCUCAGGAUGUUGGC
Molecule: ribosomal RNA, 560 nt
Filed under: Amanita glarea
Lineage: Eukaryota; Fungi; Basidiomycota; Agaricomycetes; Agaricales; Amanitaceae
Description: LSU rRNA
Rfam family: Eukaryotic large subunit ribosomal RNA
Source: RNAcentral